RNAcentral lists this unclassified non-coding RNA (205 nucleotides) under Hevea brasiliensis (rubber tree). The record is from RNAcentral. Lineage: Eukaryota; Viridiplantae; Streptophyta; Magnoliopsida; Malpighiales; Euphorbiaceae.
GGCCACUAGAAGCCAAUCUAGCAUCUGUUAAUUUAUGCGUAAUAGAAUCAGUGGUUGCAGAUUGAAUAAUCACAAUUUCUUGUCCGUACAAAUCAGAUGAUCUUGAAACAUCACCUGCAGGGAAAGAUGCAGGUGGGAUGCUGGAUUUAAACACUUGAUGAACAUGAGAAGAGACUCCAGAGUCAUUCCUAGCACUGGAAUCCGC